GAUGAACGCUAGCGGGAGGCUUAAUACAUGCAAGUCGAGCGGUAACUGACCGAUAGCAAUAUUGGUUAGCUAGAGCGGCGCACGGGUGAGUAACGCGUACAUAACCUACCCUAUACUGGGGGAUAGCCUUGGGAAACUGAGAUUAAUACCCCAUGGUAUUAUUUGGCCACCUGGUUGAAUAAUUAAAGUUGCGGCGGUAUAGGAUGGGUGUGCGUCUGAUUAGCUAGUUGGUAGGGUAACGGCCUACCAAGGCAACGACGCGUAGCCGGACUGAGAGGUUGACCGGCCACAUUGGGACUGAGACACUGCCCAGACUCCUACGGGGGGCUGCAGUAACGAAUAUUGGGCAAUGGGCGCAAGCCUGACCCAGCGACGCCGCGUGGAGGAUGAAGUCCUGGAGUGUAACUACCUCGUCAGGGGUUAGGUAAAGUUACUUGAUCAACCCCACGAGGAAGGCGACGGCGUAACUCUGUGCCAGCAGCCGCGGU
RNAcentral lists this ribosomal RNA (488 nucleotides) under uncultured bacterium. RNAcentral's name for it is "bacterial SSU rRNA". It matches the Rfam family "Bacterial small subunit ribosomal RNA", at positions 28 to 521 of the family's 1533-position model. The record is from RNAcentral.